GCAGUAGGGAAUCUUCCGCAAUGGGCGAAAGCCUGACGGAGCAACGCCGCGUGAGUGAUGAAGGUCUUCGGAUCGUAAAACUCUGUUAUUAGGGAAGAACAUAUGUGUAAGUAACUGUGCACAUCUUGACGGUACCUAAUCAGAAAGCCACGGCUAACUACGUGCCAGCAGCCGCGGUAAUACGUAGGUGGCAAGCGUUAUCCGGAAUUAUUGGGCGUAAAGCGCGCGUAGGCGGUUUUUUAAGUCUGAUGUGAAAGCCCACGGCUCAACCGUGGAGGGUCAUUGGAAACUGGAAAACUUGAGUGCAGAAGAGGAAAGUGGAAUUCCAUGUGUAGCGGUGAAAUGCGCAGAGAUAUGGAGGAACACCAGUGGCGAAGGCGACUUUCUGGUCUGUAACUGACGCUGAUGUGCGAAAGCGUGGGGAUCAAACAGGAUUAGAUACCCUGGUAGUCCACGCCGUAAACGAUGAGUGCUAAGUGUUAGGGGGUUUCCGCCCCUUAGUGCUGCAG
This 509-nucleotide ribosomal RNA is filed under the name Staphylococcus aureus. RNAcentral describes it as "bacterial SSU rRNA". It matches the Rfam family "Bacterial small subunit ribosomal RNA", at positions 351 to 851 of the family's 1533-position model. The record is from RNAcentral. Lineage: Bacteria; Bacillati; Bacillota; Bacilli; Caryophanales; Staphylococcaceae.